GAGUUGCAGCUCAGUGGUAGAGCUCUUGUCUAGGAUGUAUGAGGCACUGGGUUUGAUCCCCAGCACCACA
This 70-nucleotide transfer RNA is filed under the name Marmota monax (woodchuck). RNAcentral's name for it is "tRNA.Pro". Lineage: Eukaryota; Metazoa; Chordata; Mammalia; Rodentia; Sciuridae. The record is from RNAcentral.